Molecule: RNA transcript, 2788 nt
Organism: Sardina pilchardus (European sardine)
Lineage: Eukaryota; Metazoa; Chordata; Actinopteri; Clupeiformes; Clupeidae
Exons: 7
Source: RefSeq, a predicted model, not a curated record
GCCUGAGGCUGUGGAGGUGUGGAAAGAGAUUACAUAGCUGAAGUUAGUUAGUGUACGAAUGCUGAGAAUAAACAGGCGACCAGAAGCACAAGGAUACAAGCAGUGAGACAGACCCUCAAUAGACACCCAAAUGUCAGAGGUUGCCAAUAUAGAGGAUUUAGCCACAGCGUCAAAAGGCUCUUUACUCCAGUCGAUGCUUCAGAGACUGAGGAAAGAUGAACCUUCCCGGAGUCUUGAUCUGAGGUCCCCAGGGGGGAGUCUGGCAGAGGAAAGUACUCUUACUGGGGGUGAUUAUGAUCUGCAGGAAUCAAGCAGGAAGUUCAACACUAAACUAUCAGCUAAAAAACAGGGGAAUGUCGAGAAUUCGCCAAGUGCAAUUCCCAAAUGGGAGCGCAGACAGUUGUUUCUCCUUCCCUAUGCACUGGACACGUUGGGAAGCUCCAAGCAGGAGAGUGAAGAUGAAGACCACCAACCAGGUGAGAGAGAAGAGCAGCUGCAUUGGAAGACAAAGCCAAGCUUUCAAACAUCACUUACUAUGUCAGAGACACAAGAAAGGAAGUCUUCCUUUGAAAUUCCGAUCAUGUCAGAUGAGGAUUCAUCACAUAAUCAAGACACUCAACCUUCUAACAUUUCAUCGCAAAUAAAGAAAAGUUGUGGAACUGUAGAGUCAGUCUUAGGAAAUGCCCAUUCACAGGACGUAAUGAAGGGGCACAAUGAAAUCUCCAGAGACAACACAGACAGUGACGCAUAUGAGGACGUGCUUCCUCUAUCCAGCAUGCAGGAGUCUCUCGCUCAAAGCAUUGACAAAACACUGCCUGACCUAUCUUCCGUGCAGACUCACAACACUCUUAUCUCAAAUCCAUCAUGCUACAGGGUAAGGAAAGUGAAACUGUCUAUGGAUACCCCAACACAGACAAAAACAUGUUUGAUAACAUCAACACAAAGGAGUGGGGACCAACCACCAAAUACUAUCAUAAAUAAUAAUCAGGGUAUGGAUCUAAGAAUGGACUGUGAGGACAUUGACAAGAGCAACAGUGCCGAUACUGCCCAGGACCCCUCGUUAAUAAGGGACGAAACCAGACCCACAGGAUCAAACACCUCCUUGGGGAAGGUGUCAGAAAAGGGGAAGGAGAAACUGAAGAAAAAGUGGAGAGAGCAAGAUGAAAGGAAGCAAGGGAGUGGAAGUAGCCAAGACAAGGAGAAUCUCUAUUUGGAACCGGAUCCUCUGCCUGUGGAAAAGGCCAUGAUCAGUCCUACCACCUUUUAUGAGGAACAAGGACCCAGUGAGAAUAAAACAUGUUUACAAAGGGGCUUUACACUUCGUGAUUUUAAGCUGGAUCUAGGUUCCAUGAACUUAAUGGACGAAAUGUUUACAGGAGAUGAGUGGUCAAAAUACCUACCAGUCCAAGAGUGCACGUCCCAAGAAGAGGACAUUGACCAAUCACAGACUAGCAGUGUCCAUACUUGUCAUGACAAUGAAAUGUCAGUAACUGCCAACCUGGAGCAUCAUGGCUCAAGGUCAGAAAGGGAUUCUGGAAGUGCCCAUUCUUGUGAGAAUAUUGACAAAAAGGGAACAGAAGGAGACCAACAUGAUGCAGGAGUGGAAUCCAAUAUAUAUAUUUAUGCCAUACCCACAGAGAAAGUGGACAAGCCACCAGAAAAGAAGACCAAUCCCAGCGGUAAUCAAGAGGAAUCAGAAGACAGUUAUGACUAUGUGCAAUACAUGAUUCCUAUGCCCCCAAACUGGAAGAAGUCUAAACCUCUCCCUUCCCUGGAGUUACCUGUCAUAAAGGGCAAAUCAAAGGAAACUGUUUGAUGGUAGGGUUCAGUUGAGCGAUAUGAACUGGUCACUUGCAUGACCACUGUUUGUACUGUUGCCCCUGCAUUAGUCACAAGAACUACUGGACAAUAGUAUGCUGAAGACUCGAAUCAGCUUGGGAAAAAAGAGAAAACAUCGGCCACCAGGCAAAAAAAAGAAAGAGAAACAGAGUUCCACGUUCUACAGCAUCCCUUCCUCUGUGCUCCAGCCACCCCAGCAGCUCUUGCCUUCUUCCCACUCCCACUCCCCCUCCCCCUCCUCUCAAACCACUGUCUUCGCCAGCUCAGUGUUCUACACCCACCCCUCAUUAACUGACAGCCAACAGAGCACGUCAUCGCAAACACUGGGAUCUGUGGCUGAGAAGUCAAAGCCCAAAUGGAAAGGAUUCUUUCCUAAGACGAAGGGAAAGUCAAAGCACUGAUCUUCCUCUAUAUCCCUUCACAAAAGUGGAAUGAUCUGGGGAAACCUGAUUGUCUAUCAAAUAGGAAAAAUGGAAGAGUGUACAAAGUGUACAAAAAUGUACUGGUGUAUAAAGGAAUAUAGUGACAGAUUAAGAUUAGUGAUAUUCACUGGUUUUACUGAGUAAUUCAUGUCCUUCUGCAUCAGCUGUAGGAGGUUAACUGUCCUCACUCUCUUUCACUCACACACACACACACACACACACACACACACACACACACACACACACACACACAGAAAACAAGAGGUACAGGAUAAAACAAAGUAUUUUCACAUAUUUCAUACACAAAAUGAAAUGUGUUUUGUUCAAAUGUACUGUAUUUCAGUAAAACAUUCAACUAGAAGCAGGAAGCCGUUGCUUUUCACAUGACCAAAAUGGCUCAAAGAUAAAUGUGUGUAUGUUGCAUGGCUUCAUGCAAAUAACAAAGGCAGCUUUUGAAUGUAUCUGCCCAGUAACAUGCAUUAAUUGAGUGCACAUUAAAGGUAUGGGUCAGCAAUUUUAAUCCACAA